RNAcentral lists this long non-coding RNA (471 nucleotides) under Heterocephalus glaber (naked mole-rat). RNAcentral's name for it is "lncRNA (ENSHGLG00000043044.1)". The record is from RNAcentral. Lineage: Eukaryota; Metazoa; Chordata; Mammalia; Rodentia; Bathyergidae.
GGGAAAUGUUUUGCAUCGAUUCAGGACAACAAGAUAGCAAAGUAAAGGGCAACUAAAGACACAAAAGAGGACUUCCAGAACUGCUUCAGAAAGUGGAAAGAAUGAUGGGAUGAGAAACCAAGACCCAAAGGAGGUCACACAAUUGCCCGAAGUCACACAUUCGAACACUGUCCUAGACCUGUUUUAAGAAUCAGCUAUGAGGGAGAGCUGAAGUUCUGGGGUGAAGCCUGAACCCUCUAAAUCCCCCAUCAUAAGCAGCCAGCCGACCUCAGGCCCAGGAAGUGCUUGAGGACAUCCCUCCCCGUGCGUGCGUCUCCGCCGUGGUCCCCAGCACUUCUGCACCUGGACUUGGUCAUUUUACAGCCCGGCACUCGACCACAGCCGGAGGGAAGCGAGCUUCUCAUCCGAAGCUGUCUUCUUAGGUGCAAUAUGUAAACUGUCUUGAAUUCAGCCAUGGAAAGUUAAAUCCUG